AUGAUGAUGAUGAUGAUGUUACCGACUGUGCUGCUGACCACGCUGCUGUUUGGACUUGAUGGAUCAGGUGCGAGUCCAUCUGUGAGUCAGUCUCCUGCAUCAAAGUCUGUCAGUCUGGGGGAGACAGUCUUUCUGAGCUGUUCAGCCAGUACAGGAGUUGAUGAUUAUCUCAGCUGGUACCUGCAGAAACCUGGACAGCCUCCCAAACUGCUGUUUUAUAAAAUAAGUAGCCGUCAAUCUGAUACUCCGAGUCAUUUCAGCAGCAGUGGAUCUGAACCUGAAUUCACUCUGACUAUCAGUGGAGUCCAGGCUGAAGAUGCAGGAGAUUAUUACUGUAUGGGAGCAUAUAGGGGCCCAGUGAAUACACAGUGA
Scomber japonicus (chub mackerel) is the source of this 372-nucleotide non-coding RNA. Lineage: Eukaryota; Metazoa; Chordata; Actinopteri; Scombriformes; Scombridae. The record is from the annotation of a RefSeq genome assembly.